Long non-coding RNA from Manis pentadactyla (Chinese pangolin), 1237 nucleotides. RefSeq lists it as uncharacterized. Lineage: Eukaryota; Metazoa; Chordata; Mammalia; Pholidota; Manidae. The transcript is spliced from 2 exons. The record is from RefSeq and is a predicted model, not a curated record.
CCUCUCAGUUCUCCACAAACAGAUGCAUUUCUAGUCUAUUUUUUAGUGGUCUUCUGCCCUUAUUUGAAAAUGUGAAAGAAAACAAGGCACCUGAGAUAGUUCACCAUUGUCCAAAAACUCCUCGUUUGUUGAAACCAAAAUUGACCUCUUAUCCCAAAGACUAAUGAAAUGCUGGCCUGUGACUUGAAGUCUUAUUUAUGGAGUGUUCUGUAUUCACACAGAAAAAUCUACAGGAUGUAUUUGACAAAGCACUUUUGGAUGCCUUGGAGCUUCUAGAACUUACAAAGAGCUGCAGGAGGAACUGCCCCUUGCUGGUUCCCUAAUCACCUUACACUUUGUUACUCUGUCAGCCAUAGUUGACAAAUGUGGCACCCAACCUGAUGUAGUAAGAUUAAGAAGUCUUUUUGGAAGAGUGAGCCACCUGGGCCAGGUUAAAGGCUGUGAUAAGACUCCGUGGGAUCUGUUCUUGUCUGUGGGGUAGUGCAUGUUCUUGUCUAAGUGGUGGUCAAGGAGAGGGAAUAGGCUACUUCCACUGUCAUACAUGUUAAUAGACUGUGUGGGUUGUGAUAUGAGAAGACUCCCUAGGAUCUGAUAGUUUAUCCUUCCUGUUAGUGAACUUUGGAGGCUUAGAAAAGUAGAAUUGUAAGCCAGCUUCCUGAAUGGUGUCUCUGUUGGUAAUUCCAUUGUUGAAACUGAGCAGACAGCCACUUAAAUUGAAAGUAAGUGGAAACCUGCGCUUACUGGUGCAGAGCUGCUCCUGCCAUGCCUUCUGACCUCUCCCUUUUACCCUGACCUCUACUGCUUUAAGAGAAGAAACUUCCCCUCUGCUGCAGCUGACCUCCUCUGCUCUGCCCUGAACACCUGAAGAGAUGACAUGUUCUCUGGGCAGCUGUUGUAACUCCUCAAGUACCUUUGUUAAACUUCUUAGCCUGUGUUUCUCUAAAAAGUGUCUGAAUUCAGCUGAUACGGUUUGGGCCAGAUUUACAGUAAAGAGAAAAAAGCUAAUGAGUGAGGCCUCUGAGCCAAUUCAAUGUACCAUUGUGAAAAUGUAUAAUUUGAAUGAUAUGUUACUUUCUUGUACUAUGAAUGCUUAUAAGAUGUUAAGAGAAAUUUCCUUGGAUGUCCAAAGUUUUCACUGUAUAAAUAAUGCCUAGUGGUUGACAAAUCAAAAGUUUCUCUCUAUAUGGCUUUAUUGUAACAUUAUCAGGUGUGACUAAUAAACCCUGACAAAAUUCAA